CCAUGUUGGUCAGGCUGGUCUUGAACUCCCGAACUCAGGUGAUCCGCCCACCUUGGCCUCCAAAGUGCUUGGAUUACAAGCAUGAGCCACCACGCCUGGCCUAUCAUUCCCCUUUAUAGGAGAGUGUUUGCUAGUUAGCAGUUCCCUUUCUUUCCAGAUGGCAGCAUGAGCACAAACCGUAAGGAAUGCAUAUUUAGAAUCUGUAUAGAUGUUAAGGUUUUUUUCCUUGUCCCAAUAUUAGUGCUCGACUAAGAGCACUAAUUUCAGCCUUUUGUGCUGAUGUGCAGGGGUAAUGGCUGGGCUUCAAUCAUUCUGUUAUAAUUUGCUAUGCAUAUUCAGCUUGGCAUGUCCCAUUUGACACAAAACUACUGCUAUCUGUACACCAGUCAUCCUCUCAGAAUCUGGGAGAGGCUGGUCUUUUAAAUCAGGCCAGCUAACAUAUGUGUGUGCGACAACCUGCUUGCAGAAAUGAUCUGCCGUUGGGCCUGUGGGCAGCAAUAAAACUGAAUUCAGUGUGUUACAGGUUUUAAGGGUUACAUCUGGAUCGCCUAGGAUCAUGGCCUAGUAUUUGGCUAAUCUUUCCCCUGUCAUCCAGCUGUGUCCCCUUACCUGUAAGACUGACUUUACCUGAUGGGAGUUAGAACUGCCAGUGGUUGUCCUAGGGUGAUGUUAGUGGCUUCCUCCACUAACCUAACCGUGGCUGCUAUUGCCUGAAGGCAACUUGGCCAUCCCAAGGUUACUCUGCCCAACUUCUUUGAAAAAUAGACAGUUGGUCCGGGUUCUGAUUCUAAUUUCUCAGCAAGCACUUACACGGCUAUGCCCCUCUUCUCUGCUAAUAUGGGGAGAAGGGUUUAGUUAGGUCUGGGAUGCCAGGAGUGUGAACCUGGGUGAGAGCCUAUUUUCACUUGACAAAAGCUUCUCUAAUUUUGGGGGUUUAUUCCGUUAGCUCAUUUUCAGACCCCCUUGCUGCUUCAUAGUGAGGCUUUGCUAUGAGUCCCAAAAUUUGUAUCUGUGUUUUGCAAAACUUGGCCAUUCCCAAAAAAGAACAAAGCCGCUGCUUGGUGUUGGGGACCCCCAAAUUACCUAUGGCUUGCACUUGUUCUGGAGACAUUUGCCAGGCUCUGGGUGUUAACAAAUACCCUAAAUAUUGUACCCAUUGGAGAAUAAUCUGUGCCUCCUUUUUGGAUGCUUUGUAUCCCAUCUGCCAGAAAAUUUGAAGUUCUUACAGUAUUUUGGUCAGAAAGCUCCGGGGUUGGGCUACACAGAAGGUCAUCCACCAUAGUGAAAUAUACUCUCGUUCUGGGUUGCAGACCCCUCAGAUCCCUCUGUAAGACUUGGGCA
This is a long non-coding RNA of Sapajus apella (tufted capuchin), 1341 nucleotides long. RefSeq lists it as uncharacterized. The record is from RefSeq and is a predicted model, not a curated record. The transcript has 2 exons. NCBI's taxonomy places the organism in Eukaryota, Metazoa, Chordata, Mammalia, Primates, Cebidae.